This 468-nucleotide ribosomal RNA is filed under the name uncultured bacterium. RNAcentral describes it as "partial 16S ribosomal RNA". It matches the Rfam family "Bacterial small subunit ribosomal RNA", at positions 28 to 507 of the family's 1533-position model. The record is from RNAcentral.
GACGAACGCUGGCGGCGUGCUUAACACAUGCAAGUCGAACGGUGUAGCUCCAGCUUGCUGGCGUGGAUCAGUGGCGAACGGGUGAGUAACACGUGAGCAACCUGCCCCAGACUCUGGAAUAAGCGCUGGAAACGGCGUCUAAUACUGGAUACGAGAUCAAGCCGCAUGGUUAUGGUCUGGAAAGGUUUUCGGUUUGGGAUGGGCUCGCGGCCUAUCAGCUUGUUGGUGAGGUAAUGGCUGACCAAGGCGACGACGGGUAGCCGGCCUGAGAGGGCGACCGGCCACACUGGGACUGAGACACGGCCCAGACUCCUACGGGAGGCAGCAGUGGGGAAUAUUGCACAAUGGGCGAAAGCCUGAUGCAGCGACGCCGCGUGAGGGAUGACGGCCUUCGGGUUGUAAACCUCUUUCAGCAGGGAAGAAGCGAAAGUGACGGUACCUGCAGAAGAAGCACCGGCUAACUACGUG